RNAcentral lists this ribosomal RNA (254 nucleotides) under uncultured bacterium. RNAcentral's name for it is "partial 16S ribosomal RNA". It matches the Rfam family "Bacterial small subunit ribosomal RNA", at positions 524 to 776 of the family's 1533-position model. The record is from RNAcentral.
CACGUAGGGUGCAAGCGUUGUCCGGAAUUAUUGGGCGUAAAGGGCUCGUAGGCGGUCCGUCACGUCGGGAGUGAAAACUGGAGGCUCAACCUUCAGAGGUCGACCGAAACCAUCUGGCUAGAGUCCGGGAGAGGAGAGUGGAAUUCCUGGUGUAGCGGUGAAAUGCGCAGAUAUCAGGAAGAACACCCGUGGCGAAAGCGGCUCUCUGGAACGGUACUGACGCUGAGACGCGAAAGCGUGGGGGAGCGAACAGG